AACGAACGCUGGCGGCAGGCCUAACACAUGCAAGUCGAACGAGAAGCCCGGCUUCGGCCGGGUGGAAAGUGGCAGACGGGUGAGUAACGCGUGGGAACGUACCCUUUGGUUCGGAACAACUCCGGGAAACUGGAGCUAAUACCGGAUGUGCCCUUCGGGGGAAAGAUUUAUCGCCAAGGGAUCGGCCCGCGUCGGAUUAGCUUGUUGGUGGGGUAACGGCCUACCAAGGCUAUGAUCCGUAGCUGGUCUGAGAGGAUGAUCAGCCACACUGGGACUGAGACACGGCCCAGACUCCUACGGGAGGCAGCAGUGGGGAAUAUUGGACAAUGGGCGCAAGCCUGAUCCAGCCAUGCCGCGUGAGUGAUGAAGGCCCUAGGGUUGUAAAGCUCUUUCGCCAGGGACGAUAAUGACGGUACCUGGAUAAGAAGCCCCGGCUAACUUCGUGCCAGCCGCCGCCGUAACA
This 463-nucleotide ribosomal RNA is filed under the name uncultured bacterium. Its description in RNAcentral is "bacterial SSU rRNA". It matches the Rfam family "Bacterial small subunit ribosomal RNA", at positions 29 to 525 of the family's 1533-position model. The record is from RNAcentral.